GAUGAAGAACGUAGCGAAAUGCGAUAAGUAGUGUGAAUUGCAGAAUUCAGUGAAUCAUCGAAUCUUUGAACGCACAUUGCGCCCUUUGGUAUUCCUUAGGGCAUGCCUGUUCGAGCGUCAUUUAAACCCUUCAAGCUCAGCUUGGUGUUGGGUGACUGUCCGCCGCCCCCGGGCGCGGACUCGCCCCAAAUUCAUUGGCGGCCGGUACGUAGGCUUCGAGCGCAGCAGAAACGCGAACUCGGGCCCGCGGUGUCGGCUCCCAGAAGCCAUCUCUUUUAUUUUGACCUCGGUUCAGGUAGGGAUACCCGCUGAACUUAAGCAUAUCAAUAAGCGGAGGA
This 338-nucleotide unclassified non-coding RNA is filed under the name soil metagenome. RNAcentral describes it as "partial contains 5.8S ribosomal RNA, internal transcribed spacer 2, and large subunit ribosomal RNA". The stretch from base 1 to 120 matches the Rfam family "5.8S ribosomal RNA", at positions 35 to 154 of the family's 154-position model. The record is from RNAcentral.